This 72-nucleotide transfer RNA is filed under the name Bos taurus (domestic cattle). It matches the Rfam family "tRNA". From Rfam's summary of the family: Transfer RNA (tRNA) molecules are approximately 80 nucleotides in length. Their secondary structure includes four short double-helical elements and three loops (D, anti-codon, and T loops). Lineage: Eukaryota; Metazoa; Chordata; Mammalia; Artiodactyla; Bovidae. RNAcentral also lists the same sequence under 4 other names. The record is from Rfam by way of RNAcentral.
UCCCAGGUGGCUCAGUGGGUAAAGAAUCUGCCUGCAAUGCAGGAGAGGCGGGUUCAAUCCCUGGGUUGGGAA